ACAGAGACACUCCCACAUUUUUCAGCAUGUUUUUACAAAAAGAUAGAUUUAGAGUGAGAUCAACUUGGAUUUUUCCACAAGGACAUAUACAGGAUACUAACCUCCACAACAUAACAUUCACUCCAAAUCAAAACUCCAAACCUUCAACCUGAUUAUUGACAAAUCUACCUGGAAGUAUUCAAAGAUUCUUAUUUCCAAGAUUUACAGCAAAUGGUCUGGCAAACAACCAACAGAAACCUGAAACACCAUCCAACAUGGAACAGAGACCUGAGCCCUAGGACCAUGCCCCAGGACUACCUGACAUGAUGACUCCUUGCUGUCCCCAGUCCACCUGGCCGUGCUGCUGCUCCAGCGGACAGCCCCCAGACAAUAAUACCCAAGGCAUUAUGGGCUCUACCCUUGAAUGACUUAGAGGGUAUUGAAAACGACGAUAUUCUACCGUUCUGUACAGCCGGCUUUGACAUAACUCAAAACACCCCACGAAUUGAAGAUUUGUCAUACAUCUACACACCAGCAAGCAGCCCCUGCCAUUCAUUGAAUAGUCCUGCACCUGCACCCUAUCCAGAAAGGCUCCACAGAAUUGUAGCUCAAAUACACCAAACGGCUUCACCACUGCCCGAGAAGGCUGACUGGUCUGAAAACGGAUUCAAGAGCAUGCUCUCUACGGCUACGAUUGUGACGAUACCUUAACGAAUCAUGCAGAGUCUAUACAUCAAGAGGACAACGGGAUAGGAAACACAUCGAGGAUUCCUCAGAAAAACAGCCAUCAAACAACCAAAGUCUCCUCCCAGGCCUAUACAAACAUAGAAGACCCAAUAUGUCAAGAGGAACAGGAGGAAAAGGAGGAAGAGGACGCUGAUGACAUACAGAGUAAAACAUCUAAACAGGUUGAUACAUUCAAAUGCUGUUAAUGAUGGUGAGGUCAAUGCUGUUAAUGACAACGAUGCUGAGGUCAAUGCUGUUAAUGUCAACGAUGCUGAGGUCAAUGAUGGUGCUGAUGAAGGGUUGAAGCUAUGAUGAGGAUGAUGUGUUGAUGUAAGAUGCAGCUUGAUACAAUCAAUUCUGAGGUAGAGCCAAUACUCAUUGAAGAUAGCAUCAAUGAGGACACUGAUCAUGAUAUAGAACUGAGAGAGGUCAAGUUACUAGAUAGGUUUCCCACAGCCUUUUACAGGGCUAAUAAAAGCCAGAGAGGUCCAGCUACACAAACAUAUGGUUGCUUUACUAAGAUGACAGUACAGUAAAGCUCUGUCCUUCUUGAUAAGCACCAAUCUGAUUAAAAAAUGCCCAAAGCAGAUCUAGAACAAUUUAUAUCCCUGCUGGAACGUCUUGUUCAAUCUAAUUUAUCCAUCAUAGCUGACCUAGACCUUAGAACUUGUUGUGCAAAUCGUCCGCCAACCCCUAGGCGGAGGGGGUCAGAGAAGGAAACUAGAUAGUCUCAUGCAAUCAGAAAUCAUAAACAAUAAGAAAGCAUAUCUCAUGAACGUUAACAAUCCUGCUAAUCAGUUAUGCUUUGCAAUAGGCCUAUCACAUUUACUCAACCCUGGAUGUACAGAUUUAGAAGCUUUACUAAAGGCUAGUGACAUCCAAAAGGCUGUAGGUCUAUGUAUACAGGAGCCUGUGGCUUUCUCUGGCAUAGUCAAAUUAGAAAAUUUGUUGAACAUCAAGAUUGUGGUUUUGUACCAUAGUAGAGUUAAACAUGCUCUCUAGAAAUUCCAGAACAACCCUCAACCUCCUCCUCAUAUUCUGUACUUUUAUGUGCAAAAGGACCAGGAUACACCAGACAGGGGGGGGCACUCUGGUCAGUAUAACUGUUCAGUGUGUCAGGAUACACCAGACAGGGGGGGUGGGCACUCUGGUCAGUAUAACUGUUCAGUAUGUCAGGCUACACCAGACAGGGGGGGGGGGCACUCUGGUCAGUAUAACUGUUCAGUAUGUCAGGAUACACCAGACAGGGGGGGGGCACUCUGGUCAGUAUAACUGUUCAGCUAGUCAGGAUACACCAGACAGAGGGGGGGGGGGGCACUCUGGUCAGUAUAACUGUUCAGUAUUGAUACAGGAUUGAGAUGAAUGGAUGCCCAAGAGAGAAUUGGACAUACAUGAUAAUGUCAGAAAAUAAGGAUAAUUUACUAAUCCUACCUAAGUCAUUAUUUAGGGUAUAUAAGGUUGAUACCUGGGCAGAGCCAGGUAUCAAAAGGUAAGUUAGUGGCCUAUUGGAUAAUAAACUAAUAAUAAAAAAUAAAUAAAAACUUUUUUUAGUUAAAGAUAUAAUCAUAUAAAACCUAUGAGAAACUGUUUGUUAACCAAGCCUGUAUGUCCAGGAUUUUAUGCAUUACAGGUGAACUACAGGUAAAGUCACUCAAUCCAGUCCCAGAGGCUUGUUGGGGGGACCAUACCAAGGACUCCUGGUGACAGCUAGCUGAAAGAGAUACCCGGAUUCAUAUCGCAUGGCGGGAGGGUAAGACACAAUGACACUGUCGAACAAUAAACAGUGUUCGAGAGGAGAACUGGAAUUAACAGAAUUCAUCUCUCGAAUGAAAAAACCCUCCCUGUCUUUUCAUCCCUGUUGUUGUUCAUAGAAGUGAAGAUGGGUCUGGCUCUUGCUAAGUGAUGUGUUCUCGGGGAGAGGGUGGGGCUUCACAUGGAAGCUGUUCGUCUGAGCUGUUUUAUCGUGGGUGACAUAUUUCUGAUACAGCACAUCCUACUUGAGUAUGCGGAGAGUGGUAAUUUGACCCAUGGUUUAGACGAUGAGGGUUUUGUUCCAAAAUAAGCAUAAGAGAUCCCUAGAUCUGGGUAGACAGGAAGUUAGAAUAGAGGUUGGGUAGGAUCUCUCAAUGGAGUUUUAUGUAGACCAAAAUGGAGUCUCUAACUACAUGGCAGUCUAGGACUCUGAGCCAUUAUGGCAUAUAUCGGUGCAGGUUCCCAUAUUGAUCGUGGACACAGGUCAUAGCUCAUUUGGAGAGAGAGGGCUAUAUGAAUCCACUCACCCAGUAUGGAAGACGGUAGAGUAGAGUGAAUAUGAAUAUGAGAGUUUUUGAUUGUAAUCAGGAGAGAGGGAUGUAUUGCAUAAAGAUACACUUAACCCUUUAAACAGAAAUGAAGGAGGAUCUAGGGUUGUGGUAUAGAUAUGACCAGGUCUUGGUCGACACCUUAGUAUGGUUCUGGGUAGAGGAGUUUAGGCCGGUAUGGUAAAGCUGUUCACGAAAGCAGGAAUGCCAGAUAAUGACAGUUGUAUUGAUUUGCACUAUUUAAAUCCCCAGGUUCCUCCCUUUACAGUGACCGGAGGAGAUUAUUACCGUUUGGCCCGGUACAGUACUCUUGGGAAAUUAUGUCAGGGCGAGGUUUUACCAACAGAUUGGACAGGAUUAUGCUCCAUUGUAAUGCCUUUCACACUCAUUCAACACCAAGACAUGAAGUAUAGCCAAAUGGGAGAAAAGAGCUAUUCCAUCCGGGUCUCUUAUUGACUAAGUACACAUUGAUAACAUUGGGGUUCCAAGGGGGGUGCCAGAUGAGUAAAAGCAAGAAAUCAGAUCCUAGCAGGAUUAGAGUUAAGCAUUUCUGGGGGGUCUACUCUCAAUAAGAAUGUGGACUGGAUUAAUUAUAUUUAUGAUAAUCAACAGCGCUUUAACAAGUAUACCAGAGAUGCUAUUAAAGGUUUUGCAGAACAGACUGAAGCAACCAGCUGGAUGGCUUGGCAGAAUAGAAUUGCAUUAGAUAUGUUAAUGGCUGAAAAGGGAGAAGUAUGCGUGAUUAUCAGGACCAUGUUUGUGCUUACAUCCCAAAUAACACAUCUCCGGACGAAUCAGUGCCCGAAGCCUCAGCUGGUUUGACCACCCUGGCUCACGGGUUGGCAGAAAACUCUGGGGUGGAUACUUCUCUGACUGAUUGGGUUUGAUAGUACGUUUGGAAAAUGGAAAAAUGUUAUGAUCACUGUGUUAUGGGUUACAUUCACCUGUGUGACUGUUUUAGUUUUAGGGGGCGGUUGUCUAAUUCCCUGUGUAUGAGGCCUUAUUUCCAGGACUCUGGAGAAAUCUAUGACAAUAGAUGGUGCGGUAUGGGCCGAGUCCAGGUUCUGACCCGUGGAGGACUGAAUGCAUGUCUACAGAACAAGUGGACGAAUCUGGAUCUUUUAUUUGUGGGGAAUUUAUAUUUGAUGAGACCAUUUGAUGUUUAGGGAGGCUAGGUUGUAUCCCUUCUCAGUAUUAGACUGUUUUUUUUAUCAAGAUUGUAACGAAAAUCCUGAUAAGAAGAGUUAUGAUUCUGAUGUAGGCCUGAGAAACAGUUAUGGCGAAUGCAAGUGUUGGGUUAUGUUUAGGUGAUGUUUUGAUGACAAGAUAUCUCUAAUAAAAAUAGAAAUGGGCUUUUCAAUAUUACAAUAUAACUACAAUGUGUGUUUGAAUGUAUAAUAUUUAAUCAAAGGGUGGAUAUGUUAAGGGAAUUUUUAUCAAUGAUGACUAAUUAUGUAUACAUUUCAAUCAGGACUGACUAGUCCAAAUGCUAUAAUGUACUGUACAUAUAUUAAUUUUCUCUCUUGCUCCCAUUCCCAAUUGUAUAUAAUACAGUCAGGAGUUUAGUAACAAUGACGGUCUGUUCCUUUGUACAAAUGAAUUAACUAUCUCCAGAUGGCAGGGACGGACCUUGGCUUCAGGCGAGGAGGGAAGGCUCGAGAACUAUAGGGCCUCUCUACUAGUGUCAGGAAGAGAUAGAACAUUUAGAAAACGCUGACGUCAUUUUCAGUUUAUAACCUGUGGUAAAAAGUGUAUGUACCAGUACUCUCUUGAAUUAAAUGCUGUUACCUGACUUUUAAGACCGGGGCUCUGUCCAUUCUUGUAAAAAUAUAGGGUCUUACAAGCCCUUCGAAUGCAUUGACAGAGUGAUGAAUUCUGAUUGGGAAAUAAUACAGAGGAAUUUAGAAUUCCUUUAACAGUCCAUUCAAUGUUUGGAGUGCUUGUCCCAGGAUAAAAGCAUUUUUAUUCAACAUGCUUUGAAUAAAGGGGGGAAAAGAUAGAACCCUACCAUGUAGAUGGUUACACACAGAUUGGCAGGGUUGAGACAGUGUUAGAAUACAACUGUUGUUUCUUUCACGGUUGUAAAUCUUGCUUUGAUUGUGAUCAUGUGUGUCUUAACCCAAAAUACUUUUGUACCAGGAGUUCUAAGACAAUUGGAAUCUUUACAGGUUGCUUAUGGGGUGAAAGUGAAUACGAUGUGGGAGCACAAGUGGACAGUACUCUUGUGAAAGUCUGAUCUUCAUGUUCAAGGUUUCCUUUUCACCUUUGACAUACCCAAAACCUUGGAACCUCGACAGGCCUUGUAUGGAGGUCGUACCAAUGCUUUGACAUUACGGCAUGUAGCGCAACCCGAUGAAACAAUUGGAUAUGUAGAUUUUACAUCCCUUUAUCCACAUGUAAUGAGUUCCUUUUGUUACCCUAUAGGGCAUCCUGAAAUUAUUCACCGGGACUUUGACUUAUCAGAAAACUAUUUUGGUCUGAUAAUAGCAACUGUAUACCCUCCCCGGGGCUUGUUUCUGUUGCCUCACAAGGGACCUCAAGAAACACCUUUCAUUCCCCUGCUGUGAAAACUGCUGUGAAAACAACAACCAGGAAAAGCCUUGUGAUCAUUCAGAUCAAAAAAGAGCCCUGACCGGUGUAUUGGUCACCGUUGAAUUCUCUAAGGCUAUAGAGAAGGGAUAUCGUGUGGCCAAAAUCUUUGAAGUGUGGAUCUUUCCCAGGAAAUCAGACACUCAUCAAGACCUUCUCGAGAUGCAAGCAAAUGGCUUCAGGCAUCAGUCACAGUCAUCUAGUCUAUAGUAGGUAAAGCUCUGCCUUAUAUCAGCUCACUGGUCACGAUAACAACACCCACCCGUAGCACGCGCUUCAGCAGGUAUAUCUCACUGAUCAUCUCCAAA
Molecule: RNA transcript, 5902 nt
Organism: Oncorhynchus kisutch (coho salmon)
Lineage: Eukaryota; Metazoa; Chordata; Actinopteri; Salmoniformes; Salmonidae
Exons: 5
Source: RefSeq, a predicted model, not a curated record